GAAUAAGUAAUUCUGCACCCGGGUCAUAUACCGAGCUAGAUGUCCAUCCGGUUCGAUCGAUCAUUGCUGAUUGUGCUCGGCCGUAUUUUUUUUACCCCGACGGUUCGUGGGAUUUGGAAGCUGUCCCACUACCUCCCGUCGCCCGUCACCUGAUUUCCCCCCUCGUAGUUUUCUAAUCGAGCGUAUGCGGCGGUUGGCGAUUGAGCGGCCGCCAGCGAGCGCAUGAGCGGCGGAUGGACUCGGUGGCCAUAGGAGCAGCUGCUGGUCUCUGCCACGACCGUGUCCUCGGCUGCGUCGUGGCCGGUCGGCCGAAUCGGCGUCGUGACCGGCCGGCCGAAUCGGCGGCGGCGUGGUCGUCGGCGAUAACGGAGACAUGGUGCACUGCGUAUUGCACGCGGGUAGAAUCUGUAUCAAAUUCGGUCACACUUUUGAUAUGCUGUUAUGGAUUACUGUAGAUUGCUGCCGCAACGCUAGCAUAUGGGUCUGUGAACGUGGCAUCUAGGCAUCUAGCCCCUUGCAGUUAUUGAUAUGCAAUUCCAGAAGCAGAAGAGAUAGGAAGAUUCUUUGCUCGGAUGCAAGCAACAGGAGCUGACAUAGUGAAAAUUGAAACCACUGCUACUGAGAUCGUUGAUGUGUCAAGAAUAUUUUGAAAUGCUUGUGCACUGCCAAGCAUCAAACAAGAACUGCUCAGCACUGAGGAAGACAUGACUUCAGCUCUCAACUAAGCAAGCCUGACAAUUGUGGCAAAUGGAAAGGAACUACUAUGCUGUAAGUUGUUUUCAGUCAACAAGUGAUUAUGCCACGGAGGUGGAGAUGUGUUCAUCCGAGAUCACCAUGGAGUCCCUCUGGCGGGGGCAUGCCAUUUUUCCCCGAGUGACUGACCCGGAGAGAGCUGAGCUGCUUGCGUGUCACCAUGCUGUUAACUUGGCGAAGGAGUUGGGACUGAUGAAAAUAGCACUGGAAACGGACUGUACUGUGGUGGUGGCGAAACUUCGGGACAAGAACCGGUCGAUCCACGGAACACUUGUGGAAGAAAUCAAAGCGUCUCUUGGGGAACUUGAUGAUUUCAGGGUCCUUCACGUGCGACGAUCUGGUAAUUUGGUGGCUCACAAAUUAGCUAAGGAUGGCUGUAUGAAUAAGUGUUGUAAUAGAUGGGUAUCAUGGGUUGAAUCCCUCCCAGACUUUGUGUUAAACCUUGCCGCUCUGAACAUGGGCAAUUAAUAAAGAUGGCAGCCAUUUGAUCUAAAAAAAACAAGUGAUUAUGCCAUUUGGAGAAUGUAAUUUGCUAUUUAGAAUGAUUCUGGGAUAUGUUUUUUUUGGCAAA
Molecule: long non-coding RNA, 1324 nt
Organism: Lolium perenne
Lineage: Eukaryota; Viridiplantae; Streptophyta; Magnoliopsida; Poales; Poaceae
Source: RefSeq, a predicted model, not a curated record